UUGUAGAUUGGCUGCACUUAAAAACCGCCAAAUCUGUAGCUGUGGUAGCGUUAACACCCUCAUCAUAGUUUCAAGAUAGUUUGCGUUCGACCAUGGUAAAGCUGGUGUAGUUUUUGUUACCAUUCAAUGGAUUAAAGCUGAAGGCAAAGAGUACAAAAUUUAUUUAAACAGAAAGUUUAAAUCCAUCAAGUAGAGCUACAUAGGUGGUAAUAGCACCUACAGUACCUAAAAUAAAGCUUCUUUUAAUCGGUGUUAUUUUCCAAACCGUUAAAUUAAUUUCUUUCGGGAUGGAAAAGAGAAGAACCUGUUUGCCUGAGGAAACUGAGAAAGCAUUGCAAGGUAAGGCUUGGACAGCUUCGUAUAUUUUAGCUGAAGUUUCCGUUACUGAGACCGCUGAAAUUGACAUAAACAUGAAAGAUAAAAAAUAGUAGAUAAGGAAUAACGAAUUUAAGAUAAUUUCAAGUCUACCUGGAGCAAGAAAAUCAUUAUAGUUAAGAUAGAUGGAUAAAGUAACAUACAUUAAUCCAGCGUUGACUAUUACUUCAAUGAAAAUUAACACAGAAAGAUCAUCAUCGGCAGAGAUUACUUUCGAUUUAAUAAUAUGAUAUUCCCUGCACAACAUCUCUGCAUUCAAAGCUUCUGCACGCAAAAAUCGAAUUUCAAACUGCUGCAACAAAGAUUUUAAUUGCUGGCAAACUACUAUAUAAUAUGCCACAAAAAUGUUCAUUGGCAACAUCAUCGAAAAAGUAAAAACAAAUGAUGCUGUUGUGCCUAACGCCGCAAAGAAGAAUUUUGAGUCUAAUUUGCUGUUAUAUAAAUGAAUCCUAGAAUGAAAGGAAUUGGAUAGUAUGAUUGCAGUAAAGCUGAAGUGUGUAAUAUGCAUUAAUAUACCUGAAGUUAUCCAUGCAUACAUGUACUUUAUGUUUAGUGAACUAAUACUUGUAUUUGUUUUAUGUAAAUCAGCAAAUAUUUCUUUGAGCUUUUGAAAUUUAUACAGGAGAACGCUGCGAAAGAUAACCAUCAUGACGCUUAAUAAUAUGCUUCCUAACUUAAAAAAAGAAGCCUUUUCAUAGACAAAAACAACAUAAUUACAAACAUGUAUGAAAGCGUGAGAAUUACAUGGAAUAAGGCAGGAGCUAAUCUUAACAAUGUCCUCCUUUUAGAUUUAUUCUUCGUGGUUCCACUUAUAGGCAAUAUUCCACUAAGCCUGAACAACGUAAAGACAAAUUUGCGUAGUUGUUUUGUUUGUUUCUUUUGUCUGUCCGACGUCUCAGUAAGACUUACCAAAUGAGUCACCUGAGAUUGAAGAAUAGCAUCCAUGAUUUAUAAAUUGAUGUAGUUUAAAGGAUUAAGUGAAAUCUGAUAUUAAAUGGAACUUCCAUUUUA
This is a long non-coding RNA of Parasteatoda tepidariorum (common house spider), 1386 nucleotides long. RefSeq lists it as uncharacterized. Lineage: Eukaryota; Metazoa; Arthropoda; Arachnida; Araneae; Theridiidae. The record is from RefSeq and is a predicted model, not a curated record.